UUUCCCCGCACAAAUUCCAUGUGUUUUCUACUUCGUUUUGUGGAAGACGGAGAAGCCAGCGAAGAAGAGGAGGGGGGAGGAGAACGAAAGAAACAAGAAAGGAAUUCCAAGAGCAGUCGGUUUCAAUUAAUCGAUCGCCCUCGUUGUUUCUAUCAUAAGGGCUUGAAAGAAGGAUUACCAUGAGAUUCAAGAAGGGGAAUAAGGUGGAGGUUUGGAGCAGGAGGGAGCUUGCAUCAGGCUCAUGGUGGAGUGCCGAGAUCAUCUCGGGUAAUGGGCAUAACUAUUCUGUGAGAUAUGAUGGGUAUCCAACAGACAGCAGUGUGGCGGUGGAUAGAGUGCCAAGAAAGGCCAUCAGACCCUGCCCUCCACCUGUGGAAGGCCUGAAGGAUGUGAAGUCUGGAGAUGUUGUCGAGGUGUUUGACAAUAAUUCAUGGAAGCUUGGUGAAGUUUUGAUGGUUGUCGAUAAGAAAUACUGUUCUGUGAGGCUCAUUGGAUCCUCUAGGGAGUUCAGAACCCAUAAUUCUCACAUAAGGAGACAUCUUUCUUGGCAGGACGAGCAGUGGGUGGCGAUUCAUAAGGAUUCUGGAAAACAACAUGGUGGAAUUCUAAACAGUUCAUCAAGAGGAGAGAAGUUGGGUUACCGUAAGCCUCAGUCAUGUGUAGAGAUGGUUAAUUCUUCUGGAAAGAGCCGUUUUCCUAUUGGAAGUCAUGAUUUUCCUGAGAAUACAAGAUGGGUUCUCCCAAGAGGCAUGAAGAAAAGGCCAUUGGAUUUAUCUAUUCCUUCAGAGAUGUGCAAUGAUGGUAGAAGAAAGACAAGGGCAGUCGAGAAAGAUGGGAAGUGUCACAGAAUGAUUACCAAGCAUCCAAUACAGUGUUUCGAAAAGGGCCAAAAUUGGAGGCUCCCAAACUUUGAUUCCAUAGGUCUGUGAUGAUGGUGGAGUUGUCAUGUCUUUUACACUGCGAACAGUGUGGCAACACUUCCAUCUUAUUCUUAUGUCAGUAUAUCUGAUUAUUUGAUACUUCUAAUUCUGUUAACUCCUUCUAUUUCAGGCUUACUUUAUUUCUGCCUGUAAUACAUCCAUGAUAGAAGUUUAUGAAAAAUAUUUUAACUAAGUUUUCAGUGUUUAGUUGAAACUCUUUUUUUUUUACUAUUUAAUAUUUGAUCUCUGAGGUGGAUGCAGAACGCUUGUUAUUAGGAUGCAUAGUUAUGCACCAUAACAUGUGUUUAUAACUGUAGGCUAUUUGAAAUAUCUCUUGCUGCUUGCAACAAGAGAUAUUUAAUCUGCUUUACAAGCAAUUUUAGCUUGUUGGAAAUAUCUCUUGCUGCUGGCGACAUGCUGGAUGUAUUAAGCUAUGAACAUUAACACAUGGCACUUCAUGCUGAACGUAAUAUACAUGGAAAUUUUAGAACUAUAAAAUUGGGAAUGACAUAAUAUUUAUGUUGGUACAAUGUUGAUGAAUCAUUUUAGUUGUGUUUUAUAGUAUAUCUGAAUGAAGCUUGGUUUUAUUUUAGUUAUUUUAUUAUAGUUUCAAAACUACAAGAUCUGCCUGUGUUGCAUACUCAAAUAUAAGGGUCUUCCAUGCCAAGAAAUGUAAUUUCAGGUAACAGACCCGUAUUGGUACAUGACCGAUACAGGUCAGGUCCAUGUCAAGCUUAUCAAAAUAUGGUAUGUCAGCAUGUACUGUAAUACUAUUUAUGGGGAAGAAAAAGAAGGAAAAAGAAGAAGCCAGAAGGAACAAAGGAGAAGAAGAAUGAUGGAAGGAGGAAGAAAAGAGGAGGGGAAGGAGAAGAAGUACUGGUCCAGUGGUGUUGGACGUCAGACUGGUUUGCAGCACAGGUACAACUCCUACGCAUGUCUGUGAGUCAUGAAAAAUCAUGCUGGAUAGUCCCAAGUGAGAUAAAAGCUUUAUUAUUCUUUGAUUUAGCUAAAAGCAUAAUCUCAAGUGAAAACCUUAAUUUUAAGUGCUUUAUAGCCAUAAUUGGGUGGGACACAGUAAGACUUCUUCAGGAAAGUAAGCUGCAAAAAUAUUGGCUAAUGUAAGUAGCUAAGCUUUCGAGAUAUGUGCUUCUGUUGUCACCGUGUAAAAGGAAUCAUAUUGAAGGAAUAACAUAUGGGAAACUUAUUUUUGGAGAGUUAUUCGUAUUUAGUAAUGGGGCAUCCCAGAAAUCUAAAGAUGGUCCAUUGCUGUUGUCAUUUUCGAAGUUCUAAAAUAUGUCUCAAAGUGGGAUAAUUUCAAUUGAAAAGUUGUAUAUACAAGGACACAAUCAUUAAAGAUUUUAAAGAGAUUCAUUAUUUUAUUGUAGUCUUCAGGUGCUAAGAUAAUAUUGAUGGGGCAAGCCACAAAGUAGUGCUAAAAGACAAAUCUAGAGGUCAGGUCAUACAUUUACUGAGGACUCUGAUAUGAUGAAAGAGAAGUUGAAAGAGAAAUAUCUUCCACUAUGGUAUCAGAUCAGACUAUCGGUGAAAUCUAGAUAUCGUGACACUGGGCUUGGGGCUGAAAUCCAAUGGAAUGCUGUCACAUGUUUUUGAUUCCUUGGAGCUUUAGUUAGCCUUAGAAGAUAAUAGCUAUCUCAGGUCACCCUAGAUUAGGAGACCGCCUCAGUACGUCAAUCUUUGAACUUGAAAGGAUGUCUGUUUACACUCAGUCUGUCCUCCAAGCAAGGGACAAAUAUGGUUCAUUGACUACCACUACUAUAAGCUAAAGCUACUAUGCCUAUGAAUGCCCUAAGAAUAACUUGGCUAUUCAUCCUGAAGAAAUUAUGAAGAUGGAACUAUGGAGAGAGUGUCCCACAUCUAUGAUGAAUUGGACAACAAUGAGGACCUACAUGAGUUUGAGGAUGAAACCCAACUUUAGAUCAUGAGGUGUGUUUGCUUUACCACACUAAAAGAGGAUAAUUUAAAUGAAUCUUUGUUUUGCAUACCUGCAGCAGAGGUGAUGAUAGAAGCUGCAAUUUUAUUAGUUAUCACUAAUGGAGGUAAUACCUGAUGUGGUGUUUAAAAGUGCUUUUUAGAGGAUAAAAAUUGAAGUCUUAGUUUCCUAGAUUUUAUUCAUCUAAGGUUGUUUAGGUGGACUCCACUAUGUUUGUUAGCCAAUACAUCGCUUGCUCCAAAUUUAGUUUGCCAAUGUUUAUGAAAUAUACUCCUGCAGAAGCAGGGCAGAUCUUACUUGGGAGGCCAUGACUAAAGAUCUCUGUGACUCGCAGUGGUAGGCAUACCACCUAUGUUUUCAAACAUGAUGGAAAGAAAAUGGUGUAUAAUCCUAGUAAGCCUAGAGUGAAGGCAUCCAAUGAAUUCUAUGCACCUGGUUGAAACCAUGCAUCCUUUAUGUGUCCUCAUUUUGAAGCAGUAUGAAUAAGGAAAUAUGGAACACACUCUUGUUUAUGCCUUAGCAACCAAGUCAAAAGCCAACCCACCGUAGAACCUAAAUUGUCUUUUAAAGUUAGGUUCAUACUGAGUUCAGGAUCUUAUAUCUAUAAAGUUAUUUGAUGAUCUUCCACUUAUGAAUGACGUGUAUCUCAACUCGUUCCAUUACUAAUUUUGCCAUACUAUCGGAUGAAUCCCGAUGAGUACCUGAAGUAAAGGAGGCAAGUAGAUGAGCUCAUGUGCCGUUUCAGCAUUGUUCACUCCAAAAGAUGGGAAUUGGAGGAUGCCUACACAAAAUGGAGGAGGAUGUGCCAUUUCCUCUGAUUAUUUGGUUCUUGCGGAAUGCUGGUAUAGCCAUUUCCAUUGUUUCAGAACAUGGUACAAAUCAUGUGGACAUGGUUUUCCUGUUAACAUAUAAUAACAUGUAAGAACCUGGAACACCUGUUUUCUAAUGAGUGAAUCUUGUAGGGAUCUGGUUCAGUUUUUGGCAUGUUAUCUGAAGAUCAUUGGGAAAGUUGUGAUAUGGAGAUCGAGAAUAUUUUGGAUAUGCUGAUUGCUUGAGUAAGUUGGCUUGAGCUAGUAGCAGUUGAUGCCCUCUUCUGCUUGAUAAUGUUAAAUUAUGGAGUUUUCGAUCAAGUUGAGUCGAUCUGGUUGUCGAGCAUCCAAGUGAGAAAAAGAUAUUACUGAUGACCUGUAGAGAGGUACAUGUAUCCCAGGGAAAUGUGCACAGUUUCCUCUCUUUCAGGCCGACUUGAAGCUUGUGGUUGGCUUGAAUCAGUUGGUGUUCUAUGCUUCCACGUUGAGGUUUAAGUCAAAAUCUAUGUGGUGUUAAUUUUUUGUAUUAUUUCCAGGUUACCGAAGGCAGCUUUUAGUGUUUGGAUGCUGAUCGAUGGCGAUGAUAUUAUCCUUGGAGAUUGGCUUCAUUGUGGUCAACGCUAGUACUGCGACAGUUAUUGUUGCAGGCGGUGUUGGUCGUAAAGGGGGGCCUCACAUGAGUCCUGUGUUCAUUUAUUCCAUGCAGAUCGACCUCAACUGUGUGGCUCAUUUAUUAUCACUCUCCUGUCAGAGAAAAAGGCAAAGGCAUCUGUAGUCACUGAAAGCUACCAACAGCAUUUGCAUCAAGAUUCCAAGGUGACGAGGCCCUCCGAAUCUGCUGCGUCGUCGCUUUGCUGGGUGGGAUAUGGCGCAUGUGACGGGCGGAGCAUAGUCGUGUGAGGGGCAUGUGGUUGGUGGAUACAUGGGUACACAGAGGCUGCCGUCCUCGGUGAUAUGUCCGCAGCUGCUUCGAGCCGGAGUUGACGAAAGGAAAGAUGGUUGACUUUAUGAGGAUGCAAGGUUCUUUAGUUGAGGUUUUGAAAGUUCUGCAAGAUGAAAACAGUUCACAGCUCUCCUUGAGGUUUGUGUAAAUAUUGAGAAGUCAAAUGCUAUAUUAAGGUUCAAGUCCAAGACGCUAUGAUCACUUGAAGUCGUAUGAGUGUCAGAAGAACAAUGACGAUGGAGAACUGAGCUUGCCUGGUGGAUUGAGAACAUUGGAUGGAGACUGGUUGGUGUCGGCUAAUGGAAAGUGAUUUAAUAUGGUAGACUGACUAUUCAUGGUUUAUGAUAACAACGAGAAUGUAGAACCUGGUUGACAUUUACAAGGAUGGGAAAUGUUGGCGUUGCGACGAUGAAAGUGAUUGAUUGAUUGAUAUGAUUGGACAUAUAAAGAUGGAUCACAAAAUUUGAAGUC
RNA transcript from Musa acuminata AAA Group (dessert banana), 5094 nucleotides. RefSeq lists it as uncharacterized. NCBI's taxonomy places the organism in Eukaryota, Viridiplantae, Streptophyta, Magnoliopsida, Zingiberales, Musaceae. The record is from RefSeq and is a predicted model, not a curated record. The transcript has 9 exons.